Molecule: long non-coding RNA, 359 nt
Filed under: Pan troglodytes (chimpanzee)
Lineage: Eukaryota; Metazoa; Chordata; Mammalia; Primates; Hominidae
Description: lincRNA
Source: RNAcentral
CCCCCUCUUCCCGUGCACAGUGCGGGGCGAGGCUUGGCGAGCGGUGGGUCUGCGCCUUCCCAAGAAGAGACUGGGGCAGCAUGAAUGUGCUGGAAGAUUAGAGGCUGCUGAUGCUGAAGGAAGGAGAAAUGAGGAGGAAGUGUCCCUGUGGACAAGUCAUCUCCCUUCAUUUAAGCCAGGCCAGUAGUCCGGGAGACAUUCUGAAUGAUGCAUUAUCCUAGGCACCAGAAAGUAGCUAACAUUCUCAUGGACAGCAGGGAAAAAUGAGCACAUGAGACAGGGGAAGAUUCCAGCACCUGUGAACAUGUUUGUGCAGGUUUCCAGUCAGUACAUGGAUAUCCCUCAAGCCUUUGAAUCCA